GAGUUUGAUCAUGGCUCAGGAUUAACGCUAGCGGCAGGCCUAAUACAUGCAAGUCGAACGGCAGCACGGGUAGCAAUACCUGGUGGCGAGUGGCGCACGGGUGCGUAACGCGUAUGCAAUCUACCUAUAACUGGGGAAUAGCCUUCCGAAAGGAAGAUUAAUACCGCAUAAUAUCACGAGACGGCAUCGUUUUGUGAUCAAAUCUCCGGAGGUUAUAGAUGAGCAUGCGUGACAUUAGCUAGUUGGUGAGGUAACGGCUCACCAAGGCGACGAUGUCUAGGGGGUCUGAGAGGAUGAUCCCCCACACUGGUACUGAGACACGGACCAGACUCCUACGGGAGGCAGCAGUAAGGAAUAUUGGACAAUGGCCGCAAGGCUGAUCCAGCCAUGCCGCGUGCAGGAUGAAGGUGCUCUGCAUUGUAAACUGCUUUUGUUUGGGAAUAAACCCCUCUACGUGUAGAGGCUGAAUGUACCAAAAGAUAAGGGUCGGCUAAC
This 495-nucleotide ribosomal RNA is filed under the name uncultured Sphingobacterium sp. RNAcentral describes it as "bacterial SSU rRNA". It matches the Rfam family "Bacterial small subunit ribosomal RNA", at positions 9 to 501 of the family's 1533-position model. The record is from RNAcentral. Lineage: Bacteria; Pseudomonadati; Bacteroidota; Sphingobacteriia; Sphingobacteriales; Sphingobacteriaceae.